GAUGAACGCUGGCGGCGUGCCUAAUACAUGCAAGUCGAGCGAACAGACGAGGAGCUUGCUCCUCUAACGUUAGCGGCGGACGGGUGAGUAACACGUGGAUAACCUACCUAUAAGACUGGGAUAACUUCGGGAAACCGGAGCUAAUACCGGAUAAUAUAUUGAACCGCAUGGUUCAAUAGUGAAAGACGGUUUUGCUGUCACUUAUAGAUGGAUCCGCGCCGCAUUAGCUAGUUGGUAAGGUAACAGCUUACCAAGGCAACGAUGUGUAGCCGACCUGAGAGAGUGAUCGGCCACACUGGAACUGAGACACGGUCCAGACUCCUACGGGAGGCAGCAGUAGGGAAUCUUCCGCAAUGGGCGAAAGCCUGACGGAGCAACGCCGCGUGAGUGAUGAAGGUCUUCGGAUCGUAAAACUCUGUUAUUAGGGAAGAACAAAUGUGUAAGUAACUAUGCACGUCUUGACGGUACCUAAUCAGAAAGCCACGGCUAACUACGUG
RNAcentral lists this ribosomal RNA (497 nucleotides) under uncultured bacterium. Its description in RNAcentral is "partial 16S ribosomal RNA". It matches the Rfam family "Bacterial small subunit ribosomal RNA", at positions 28 to 507 of the family's 1533-position model. The record is from RNAcentral.